GAUGAAGAACGCAGCGAAAUGCGAUAAGUAGUGUGAAUUGCAGAAUUCAGUGAAUCAUCGAAUCUUUGAACGCACAUUGCGCCCCUUGGUAUUCCAUGGGGCAUGCCUGUUCGAGCGUCAUUUGUACCUUCAAGCCUUGCUUGGUGUUGGGUGUUUGUCUCGCCUCUGCGCGCAGACUCGCCUCAAAACAAUUGGCAGCCGGCGUAUUGAUUUCGGAGCGCAGUACAUCUCGCGCUUUGCACUCCGAACGACGACGUCCAAAAGUACAUUUUUACACUCUUGACCUCGGAUCAGGUAGGGAUACCCGCUGAACUUAAGCAUAUCAAUAAGCGGAGGA
Molecule: unclassified non-coding RNA, 337 nt
Filed under: soil metagenome
Description: partial contains 5.8S ribosomal RNA, internal transcribed spacer 2, and large subunit ribosomal RNA
Rfam family: 5.8S ribosomal RNA (bases 1-120)
Source: RNAcentral